AGCAUUUCCAUACCACUCAAUAACCAUAUCAUAAGACCAUAUAUACAAAAUGAUUAUAAUGCUAUACAUGCCAUACUCAAAAUAUACAAGCCAUUAUGCCAAGAUGGUAUACGGAUAGUGUGAGCGAGCCUCCGACCGUUCUCGAUUUCCGAGCUGGCUUGUCAAAACUACAAGGAAUGAAAAGGAGGGAGUAAGCAUCAAUGCUUAGUAAGUUCACAUGCAAAUAGCAAGUAACAUAACUAUAUAAGCAAACAUAAAACAUCAUUUGCAUAAUCAUCACCGAGACAUUCAUAUCACAUUUUCUAAAUAUCAUUCAUCAUCUUACGAUCUUACCGUUGUUGUAUCUAUUUCCAACCCGAGGGUUAAGAACAUACCUGUCUAAAGUGUCCAUUUCACAACACUUACCAAUACGUCCCUUUCAUCUCGAGUAUUCCUCCGCUUGAGUAGAAUUUUACCCGUUGAACACAUCGGAAUAUAAUUCGGAUACAUGGAAAGUUUGCACAUAAGUGCCACAUAUGUAGCCAAGCUACUAUGUAACCCGCCCAUAAGCGAACUCGGACUCAACUCAACGAGCUCAGGCGUUCGCAUCCAUAAGUGAACUCGGACUCAACUCAACGAGUUCGGAUGCCUAGUUACAUCUCUCGAACUCGGACUCAACUCAACGAGUUCGGACAUUUGCAUCCAUAAGUGAACUCGGACUCAACUCCACGAGUUCGGAUGCUCAACCAUCCUAGUGACAUGUCACUUGUAUCCUAAUCCAUUCCUAAGGUUCAGCGGGACCUUUUCCCCAAUCAUGUGUCUCAAACAUCUUCUACGAAAUGCCGAUACUGAUACUCGAUAGUAUUUCACAUUUUCCAAGUAUAUCACAUAAUUUGACAUAUUAUCAAACAAUUGUCACAAGUAUGAUAUUUCAUAAUAAUGAUCAUAUCAUUUAAAUAACAUUAAAACAUUUAAAAUAAUAACUAUGUUACCAACAUUUACAUAUGAACUUACCUCGUAUGUGAAAAUGCUACUUUUACCAUUUCGUCCACAACUUGGUAUUUUCCCCAUUUUAGCCCGAAUUUUAGUUUUCCUUGCUCUAUCAUUUAAAAUAUAGUCUAAUUAGGACUCACAUUAUUCAAAUUGACCCAAAAUCAUAUUUUGAAAAAAUUACAAUUUUGCCCCUAAACUUUUGCAUAUUUAAACUUUUGCCCCAAAGCUCGUAAAUUAAACUUCAGCCCCAAACCCUAGGUUGAAUUAUUGCUAGCAUAAGCUUAAUCGAGCUACCGGGACUCCAAAAACGUAAAAAUCAUUAAAAACGAGGCUAGAACGGACUUACAAUCGAGCUUGGAAGCUUGAAAAACCCUAGCCAUGGUUUCUCCUUGCUAUAUUCG
Molecule: long non-coding RNA, 1373 nt
Filed under: Gossypium barbadense (sea-island cotton)
Lineage: Eukaryota; Viridiplantae; Streptophyta; Magnoliopsida; Malvales; Malvaceae
Description: long non-coding RNA (GBAR_LNC010663)
Source: RNAcentral